GGUUAAGUUAGAAAGGGCGCACGGUGGAUGCCUUGGCACUAGGAGCCGAUGAAGGACGGGACGAACACCGAUAUGCUUCGGGGAGCUGUAAGCAAGCUUUGAUCCGGAGAUUUCCGAAUGGGGAAACCCACCACUCGUAAUGGAGUGGUAUCCAUAUCUGAAUACAUAGGAUAUGAGAAGGCAGACCCGGGGAACUGAAACAUCUAAGUACCCGGAGGAAGAGAAAGCAAAUGCGAUUCCCUGAGUAGCGGCGAGCGAAACGGGACCAGCCCAAACCAAGAGGCUUGCCUCUUGGGGUUGUAGGACACUCUGUACGGAGUUACAAAGGAACGAGGUAGAUGAAGAGGUCUGGAAAGGCCCGCCAUAGGAGGUAACAGCCCUGUAGUCAAAACUUCGUUCUCUCCUGAGUGGAUCCUGAGUACGGCGGAACACGUGAAAUUCCGUCGGAAUCCGGGAGGACCAUCUCCCAAGGCUAAAUACUCCCUAGUGACCGAUAGUGAACCAGUACCGUGAGGGAAAGGUGAAAAGCACCCCGGAAGGGGAGUGAAAGAGAUCCUGAAACCGUGUGCCUACAAGUAGUCAGAGCCCGUUAACGGGUGAUGGCGUGCCUUUUGUAGAAUGAACCGGCGAGUUACGAUCCCGUGCAAGGUUAAGCAGAAGAUGCGGAGCCGCAGCGAAAGCGAGUCUGAAUAGGGCGAAUUGAGUACGUGGUCGUAGACCCGAAACCAGGUGAUCUACCCAUGUCCAGGGUGAAGUUCAGGUAACACUGAAUGGAGGCCCGAACCCACGCACGUUGAAAAGUGCGGGGAUGAGGUGUGGGUAGGGGUGAAAUGCCAAUCGAACCUGGAGAUAGCUGGUUCUCUCCGAAAUAGCUUUAGGGCUAGCCUCAAGGUAAGAGUCUCGGAGGUAGAGCACUGAUUGGACUAGGGGCCCCUACCGGGUUACCGAAUUCAGUCAAACUCCGAAUGCCGAUGACUUAUCCUUGGGAGUCAGACUGCGAGUGAUAAGAUCCGUAGUCGAAAGGGAAACAGCCCAGACCGCCAGCUAAGGUCCCAAAGUAUACGUUAAGUGGAAAAGGAUGUGGAGUUGCUUAGACAACCAGGAUGUUGGCUUAGAAGCAGCCACCAUUUAAAGAGUGCGUAAUAGCUCACUGGUCGAGUGACUCUGCGCCGAAAAUGUACCGGGGCUAAACGUAUCACCGAAGCUGCGGACUGUUCUUCGAACAGUGGUAGGAGAGCGUUCUAAGGGCUGUGAAGCAAGACCGGAAGGACUUGUGGAGCGCUUAGAAGUGAGAAUGCCGGUAUGAGUAGCGAAAGAGGGGUGAGAAUCCCCUCCACCGAAUGCCUAAGGUUUCCUGAGGAAGGCUCGUCCGCUCAGGGUUAGUCGGGACCUAAGCCGAGG
RNAcentral lists this ribosomal RNA (1401 nucleotides) under Escherichia coli. Its description in RNAcentral is "partial 23S ribosomal RNA". It matches the Rfam family "Bacterial large subunit ribosomal RNA", at positions 1 to 1401 of the family's 2925-position model. The record is from RNAcentral. Lineage: Bacteria; Pseudomonadati; Pseudomonadota; Gammaproteobacteria; Enterobacterales; Enterobacteriaceae. RNAcentral also lists the same sequence under 1 other name.